GUAGUCAUAUGCUUGUCUCGAAGAUUAAGCCAUGCAUGUCUAAGUAUAAGCAAUUAUACCGCGAAACUGCGAAUGGCUCAUUAAAUCAGUUAUCGUUUAUUUGAUAGUACCUUACUACAUGGAUAACCGUGGUAAUUCUAGAGCUAAUACAUGCUAAAAAUCCCGACUUCGGAAGGGAUGUAUUUAUUAGAUUAAAAACCAAUGCCCUUCGGGGCUCUCUGGUGGUUCAUAAUAACUUCUCGAAUCGCACGGCCUUGCGCCGGCGAUGGUUCAUUCAAAUUUCUGCCCUAUCAACUUUCGACGGCUGGGUCUUGGCCAGCCGUGGUGACAACGGGUAACGGAGGGUUAGGGCUCGACCCCGGAGAAGGAGCCUGAGAAACGGCUACUACAUCCAAGGAAGGCAGCAGGCGCGCAAAUUACCCAAUCCCGACACGGGGAGGUAGUGACAAUAAAUACUGAUACAGGGCUCUUUCGGGUCUUGUAAUUGGAAUGAGUACAAUUUAAAUCCCUUAACGAGGAACAAUUGGAGGGCAAGUCUGGUGCCAGCAGCC
This 551-nucleotide ribosomal RNA is filed under the name uncultured fungus. Its description in RNAcentral is "SSU rRNA". It matches the Rfam family "Eukaryotic small subunit ribosomal RNA", at positions 20 to 575 of the family's 1831-position model. Lineage: Eukaryota; Fungi. The record is from RNAcentral.